This 431-nucleotide ribosomal RNA is filed under the name uncultured bacterium. Its description in RNAcentral is "partial 16S ribosomal RNA". It matches the Rfam family "Bacterial small subunit ribosomal RNA", at positions 30 to 507 of the family's 1533-position model. The record is from RNAcentral.
CGAACGCUGGCGGCAUGCCUACCACAUGCACGUCGAACGAGACCUUCGGGUCUAGUGGCGCACGGGUGCGUAACGCGUGGGAAACUGCCCUUAGGUUCGGAAUAACUCCCCGAAAGGGGGGCUAAUACCGGAUAAUGUCUUCGGACCAAAGAUUUAUCGCCUUUGGAUGGGCCCGCGUUGGAUUAGCUAGUUGGUAGGGUAAAAGCCUACCAAGGCGACGAUCCAUAGCUGGUCUGAGAGGAUGAUCAGCCACACUGGGACUGAGACACGGCCCAGACUCCUACGGGAGGCAGCAGUGGGGAAUAUUGGACAAUGGGCGAAAGCCUGAUCCAGCAAUGCCGCGUGAGUGAUGAAGGCCUUAGGGUUGUAAAGCUCUUUUACCCGGGAUGAUAAUGACAGUACCGGGAGAAUAAGCUCCGGCUAACUCCGUG